CGUAGGCGGGGCCCUGGCGCUCUCUCGGCCUUAGCGCCAUUUUUCUGGAAACCUCCGCGCCAUGAGAGCCAAGUGGAGGAAGAAGCGAAUGCGCAGGCUGAAGCGCAAAAGAAGAAAGAUGAGACAGAGGUCCAAGUAAACCGCUAGCUUGUGCACCCAUGGACGCCACAAGAGCAGAAAUAAGGAAAGCCAGAGGCCGGGGACGCUGGUACAAUUUGUUGGACUGCAUGCCUACUGUCUAGAACUUGUCUCAGUGGAUCUAGAACAUCUAUCGCCACCUGAUCGCCGCGACCACCUUUAAGAGACCCACCUUGCUCAUACCAAAACAGUUCCUUUUGGUCCUUUGCCCUGGGCCUGUGACGUUCUGGACUAGUUCUGUUCUCACUUGUGGCUGAAUGUAACACGUGUACAAUAAAUCAUCUCUUUUGCUGUCCUAGCUGAAGAAAAA
Molecule: long non-coding RNA, 448 nt
Organism: Ceratotherium simum simum (southern white rhinoceros)
Lineage: Eukaryota; Metazoa; Chordata; Mammalia; Perissodactyla; Rhinocerotidae
Source: RefSeq, a predicted model, not a curated record